CCUACGGGAGGCAGCAGUGGGGAAUAGUGCACAAUGGGGGAAACCCUGAUGCAGCGACGCCGCGUGAGUGAAGAAGGAAGUCGGUAUGUAAAGCUCUAUCAGCAGGGAAGAAAAUGACGGUACCUGAGUAAGAAGCCCCGGCUAACUACGUGCCAGCAGCCGCGGUAAUACGUAGGGGGCAAGCGUUAUCCGGAUUUACGGGGUGGAAAGGGAGCGUAGACGGCAGUGCAAGGCUGGAGUGAAAGGCAGGGGCUCAACCCCCGGACUGCUCUGGAAACUGUACGGCGUGAGUGCAGGAGCGGUAAGUGGAAUUCCUCUUGUAGCGGUGAACUGCGUAGAUAUUAGGCGGCCCACCAGUUGCGAAGGCGGCUUACUGGACUGUACCUGACGUUGAGGCUCGAAAGCGUGGGGAGCAAACAGGAUUAGAUACCCGGGUAGUC
Molecule: ribosomal RNA, 440 nt
Filed under: uncultured bacterium
Lineage: Bacteria
Description: partial 16S ribosomal RNA
Rfam family: Bacterial small subunit ribosomal RNA
Source: RNAcentral